This 328-nucleotide unclassified non-coding RNA is filed under the name soil metagenome. RNAcentral describes it as "partial contains 5.8S ribosomal RNA, internal transcribed spacer 2, and large subunit ribosomal RNA". The stretch from base 1 to 120 matches the Rfam family "5.8S ribosomal RNA", at positions 35 to 154 of the family's 154-position model. The record is from RNAcentral.
GAUGAAGAACGCAGCGAAAUGCGAUAAGUAAUGUGAAUUGCAGAAUUCAGUGAAUCAUCGAAUCUUUGAACGCACAUUGCGCCCUCUGGUAUUCCGGGGGGCAUGCCUGUUCGAGCGUCAUUAUAACCACUCAAGCUCUCGCUUGGUAUUGGAGUUCGCGAUCUCGCGGCUCCUAAAAUCAGUGGCGGUGCCUGUCGGCUCUACGCGUAGUAAUACUCCUCGCGAUUGAGUCCGGUAGGUUUACUUGCCAGCAACCCCCAAUUUUUACAGGUUGACCUCGGAUCAGGUAGGGAUACCCGCUGAACUUAAGCAUAUCAAUAAGCGGGGA